This 733-nucleotide ribosomal RNA is filed under the name Mixta gaviniae. RNAcentral's name for it is "bacterial SSU rRNA". It matches the Rfam family "Bacterial small subunit ribosomal RNA", at positions 8 to 730 of the family's 1533-position model. Lineage: Bacteria; Pseudomonadati; Pseudomonadota; Gammaproteobacteria; Enterobacterales; Erwiniaceae. The record is from RNAcentral.
AGAGUUUGAUCCUGGCUCAGAUUGAACGCUGGCGGCAGGCCUAACACAUGCAAGUCGAACGGUAACAGGAAGCAGCUUGCUGCUUUGCUGACGAGUGGCGGACGGGUGAGUAAUGUCUGGGGAUCUGCCCGAUGGAGGGGGAUAACCACUGGAAACGGUGGCUAAUACCGCAUAACGUCGCAAGACCAAAGUGGGGGACCUUCGGGCCUCACACCAUCGGAUGAACCCAGAUGGGAUUAGCUAGUAGGUGGGGUAACGGCUCACCUAGGCGACGAUCCCUAGCUGGUCUGAGAGGAUGACCAGCCACACUGGAACUGAGACACGGUCCAGACUCCUACGGGAGGCAGCAGUGGGGAAUAUUGCACAAUGGGCGCAAGCCUGAUGCAGCCAUGCCGCGUGUAUGAAGAAGGCCUUCGGGUUGUAAAGUACUUUCAGCGGGGAGGAAGGGAUGGCGCUUAAUACGCGCCGUCAUUGACGUUACCCGCAGAAGAAGCACCGGCUAACUCCGUGCCAGCAGCCGCGGUAAUACGGAGGGUGCAAGCGUUAAUCGGAAUUACUGGGCGUAAAGCGCACGCAGGCGGUCUGUUAAGUCAGAUGUGAAAUCCCCGGGCUUAACCUGGGAACUGCAUUUGAAACUGGCAGGCUUGAGUCUCGUAGAGGGGGGUAGAAUUCCAGGUGUAGCGGUGAAAUGCGUAGAGAUCUGGAGGAAUACCGGUGGCGAAGGCGGCCCCCU